Molecule: ribosomal RNA, 254 nt
Filed under: uncultured bacterium
Lineage: Bacteria
Description: partial 16S ribosomal RNA
Rfam family: Bacterial small subunit ribosomal RNA
Source: RNAcentral
UACAGAGGUCCCAAGCGUUGUUCGGAUUUACUGGGCGUAAAGGGCGCGUAGGCGGCCACCGCAAGUCGACUGUGAAAUCUCUGGGCUUAACCCAGAAAGGUCAACCGAUACUGCGGGGCUAGAGUGCAGAAGGGGCAACUGGAAUUCUCGGUGUAGCGGUGAAAUGCGUAGAUAUCGAGAGGAACACCUGCGGCGAAGGCGGGUUGCUGGGCUGACACUGACGCUGAAGCGCGAAAGCUAGGGGAGCGAACGGG